Molecule: ribosomal RNA, 493 nt
Filed under: uncultured bacterium
Lineage: Bacteria
Description: partial 16S ribosomal RNA
Rfam family: Bacterial small subunit ribosomal RNA
Source: RNAcentral
AUUGAACGCUGGCGGCAUGCUUUACACAUGCAAGUCGAACGGUAACAGGUUAAGCUGACGAGUGGCGAACGGGUGAGUAAUGCAUCGGAACAUGCCCGGUCGUGGGGGAUAACGCAGCGAAAGCUGCGCUAAUACCGCAUACGAUCUGAGGAUGAAAGCGGGGGACCGUAAGGCCUCGCGCGAUCGGAGCGGCCGAUGCCAGAUUAGGUAGUUGGUAGGGUAAAGGCUCACCAAGCCAACGAUCUGUAGCUGGUCUGAGAGGACGACCAGCCACACUGGGACUGAGACACGGCCCAGACUCCUACGGGGGGCAGCAGUGGGGAAUUUUGGACAAUGGGCGAAAGCCUGAUCCAGCAAUGCCGCGUGCAGGAAGAAGGCCUUCGGGUUGUAAACUGCUUUUGUACGGAGCGAAAAGGUCUCCUCUAAUACAGGGGGCUCAUGACGGUACCGUAAGAAUAAGCACCGGCUAACUACGUGCCAGCCGCCGCCGUAA